CGCGGGGUGGAGCAGUCUGGUAGCUCGUCGGGCUCAUAACCCGAAGGUCAUAGGUUCAAAUCCUGUCCCCGCAA
RNAcentral lists this transfer RNA (74 nucleotides) under Eubacterium sp. Its description in RNAcentral is "tRNA-Met". It matches the Rfam family "tRNA". From Rfam's summary of the family: Transfer RNA (tRNA) molecules are approximately 80 nucleotides in length. Their secondary structure includes four short double-helical elements and three loops (D, anti-codon, and T loops). Further hydrogen bonds mediate the characteristic L-shaped molecular structure. tRNAs have two regions of fundamental functional importance: the anti-codon, which is responsible for specific mRNA codon recognition, and the 3' end, to which the tRNAs corresponding amino acid is attached (by aminoacyl-tRNA synthetases). tRNAs cope with the degeneracy of the genetic code in two manners: having more than one tRNA (with a specific anti-codon) for a particular amino acid; and 'wobble' base-pairing, i.e. permitting non-standard base-pairing at the 3rd anti-codon position. The record is from RNAcentral. Lineage: Bacteria; Bacillati; Bacillota; Clostridia; Eubacteriales; Eubacteriaceae. RNAcentral also lists the same sequence under 3 other names.